Long non-coding RNA from Glycine soja, 1323 nucleotides. RefSeq lists it as uncharacterized. Lineage: Eukaryota; Viridiplantae; Streptophyta; Magnoliopsida; Fabales; Fabaceae. The transcript is spliced from 3 exons. The record is from RefSeq and is a predicted model, not a curated record.
CUACAAUAAUAAUUCAUAGAUCAGUACCAAAAAAUAUUAUUUUAAAACAUUUUCUCCAUAUAUGUAAAAAUAAUUAAUUUUUCAUCUAAAACUAAAAUCUCCUACGAUAUAAAAAUUAAAAAUAUUACUAUUAAGAUAUAUUUAACAUCAUUAUAUUGUUGUUGACCAUUAAUAGUAUGAUGGAUAUAUGUGAAAAAAAAAUACAGAUUUGUUUGGGAAUAAAAAAUGAUGAAUUAUGAAUAUAUAGCUCCACAACCUUAAAAUACAAGCUAUAAUUUUCAUUUAGUUUAUUGUUUGGCGAGAAUUUGUUGUCAUAGGUACAGUCUGCAGAUCAAUACAGAUAUUCUAAAUUCUAAUAAAUCAUUCCAUUAAUAUAUGUGAUUAUAGAGGAGCAUCAUUGGAUGAUAAAAUAAAAUUUUAGUCGGGUAUCUGUUGAGCAUAAGUUGCAUCUAUCUAGUAAUCUCCUCGUAAUUAAUUACUUCCUUGUCUUGAUUCAUGCCAAUUGCCAAAUCUUGUAUUUUGAAAUUAACUGCUCUUUUCCUUGAUCAGGAUAACUUUUUACCUAGGACAGCCAAUCCAUUGGAAGAUAUAUUCAAGUCUCUUUUCUGUUUGCCAUGCUUAUUGUGCUUGAGGUGCAUGAAGGAUACAUGUAUACCAUAGGAGAAGAUGCUGAAAGAUCCAAGGAGACUCUAUGCUCCCGGUCGCCUUUAUCAUAUUGUUGAGAGAAAGCCUUUCAGUUGAUGAAAGAGAAAGAUAAUACAAUAGAAAUACCUGCAAAUCAAAUCAUGGAGCGGCAAGAAACAUUAGCUAGACACAAUGAAGAAUACAAAGAAGCAUUGCAGAGGGCUAAAACAUUAGAUGUUCCACAUGCUUAUACACCAGUGUCACAAUAUGGAACUUUUGACGAGGAGGGAGAGGGCAGUUCAAGAAGGUCACAAGGUAAAUCUUCUUUCGGUUCAACUUAUAGGGGUACAGUGGAUGAAACUUGGGAUGAAAUGAUUGAGCAUCUUUUUGAUAAGGAUGAGCUUAUGUGGCCAAGAGAUAAUGGUUAUGUAAUUUAUGCGGACUAGUUUACAAUUUAUUGUAGAGAACAACUAAAUUCGUUCAUUUUUUUUGUGAUUUUUCUUGGUGUGUAGUUGUAGCUCAAGGAUGAAAUAACAUGUAAAGAAGAUUAACAGAUUUGUUAGAAAUUGUUUAGCUAAUGUUAUCCUAGUAAAUCUGAUGGCAGAUGAGAUAUUUUAGGAAAUUUAGAUUGAUUGUAGGCCUAUACAUAGGCUUUUUUUUUUUUUUUUAUAAGUUUCAAUGACAAUUUUCCUUCUUCAA